Salmo salar (Atlantic salmon) is the source of this 70-nucleotide non-coding RNA. The record is from Rfam. Lineage: Eukaryota; Metazoa; Chordata; Actinopteri; Salmoniformes; Salmonidae.
CCCCGUGUAGCUCAGUUGGUAGAGCAUGGUGUUUGCAACGCCAGGGUUGUGGGUUCGAUUCCCACGGGGG